This 2435-nucleotide long non-coding RNA is filed under the name Hordeum vulgare. RNAcentral's name for it is "long non-coding RNA (HVUL_LNC013465)". Lineage: Eukaryota; Viridiplantae; Streptophyta; Magnoliopsida; Poales; Poaceae. The record is from RNAcentral.
UCUUCUAAAAGGUUAUUGUGGUACUAAUCAUAUCAUAAAUAAAAUAAAAAAUUACAUGUCCAAUAGGAUGCUACUAUUUUUACGCAAAAAUAUCCAGUAUCAUUCCUGUAUCUAGCGUACGAGCAAAUCUCCAGCGAGCCCUCCAGGAGGCUUUUGGUUUGCGCCUUUCGUCACUGCACAUGUCACGUAGGGUGGUGCUCUCGUAUUGUAGAUGCCGCCUUGCCAGAGACAUGGUCGGAGUCAUGGCAGGGCUUCAGUACAUGUAAUGAUCUAGUUUACCCUGCAGCUGGAGGCUUGGCAUCCACGAGAACAGGGAGAUUGAUCCAAGACAAGAUAGCACAGUUGGAGACUUACAAGCACGCAUAUUCUCUGUCUUCACUAAAAAAUAACACAGAAGUAGAACAUGUAUUAGCAAGUGAACGGGUAAUAGAAGAAGAGGUAGUAGCAAGCUAAAAAUUUAGUACGUUUGAAUCUACAAAUACUCCACUUAUUGUGUGACACUAAAAAUGACAAAUCAAACAUAUAACACAGAAGUAGAACAUGUAUUAGCAAGUGAACAGGUAAUAGAAGAAGAGGUACUAGCAAGCUAGACAUGGUCGGAGUCAUGGCAGGGCUUCAGUACAUGUAAUGAUCUAGUUUACCCUGCAGCUGGAGGCUUGGCAUCCACCAGAACAGGGAGAUCGAUCCAAGAAAAGAUAGCACAGUUGGAGACUUACAAGCACGCAUAUUCUCUGCCUUCACUAGUAACAAGGUGAGAAUUAUUCUAAACUGUUAAGCUCAUAGAAAAAUCUUGAAAACUUGAAAUAAAUCUUGUUUAACCAGUUAUUAUUUACAACAAUCUUGGAAACUUAGCAGAGAUCAUUUUUUAACUUCUAGCUGUAACAAAUGGUCGAAUUCAUGUCUUGUCGUUCUUCACAUGAUAACCUGCAAGAAAGAACAUUUGUGUAGAUGGAGAAGAGAGUUCACAUUUUGAAUCUACAAAUACUCCACUUAUUGUGUGACACUAAAAAUGACAAAUCAAACAUAUUGACAACUCCCUGUAGACGGCGUGUAAAAAUAUGUUUGUGCUGCUAAAUCCUAGUAACAAGGUGAGAAUUAUUCUAAACUGUUAAGCUCAUAGAAAAAUCUUGAAAACUUGAAAUAAAUCUUGUUUAACCAGUUAUUAUUUACAACAAUCUUGGAAACUUAGCAGAGAUCAUUUUUUAACUUCUAGCUGUAACAAAUGGUCGAAUUCAUGUCUUGUCGUUCUUCACAUGAUAACCUGCAAGAAAGAACAUUUGUGUAGAUGGAGAAGAGAGUUCACAUUUUGAUGGUCCUUAUUCCAUGAAUCCCAUAAUAACCUUGGAAUCAGAACUUAACACAAUAUAUAUCAUGACCAUGAGAACACAAUUUGUCGCUAUCAUAUGUUCCUUACUUUUGAUCUAUCUGUGUCAAACUUUUUUGCCACACCUGUAGAUGCCGACAUCUUUCUCCCAAAGAUAGUAGGUUGACAAUGUAUUUGUUGGGACUCUUAGUACAUGCUUAUUACCGAGUUUCAGUUUUACUCUACUACAAUAAAUUAUAGGUCAUUAUAAUUAUUUAUAUGUUGUUUGAUUAGUGUCACACAAAUACCACAUCACCAAUUAUUUAAGAGAAUGUCAUCCAUUGUACAAUGACGUUUGGACUACUUUAGCAAUACGAACAUGUGUUGAACCUCUAAAAACAUAUAGGGAAAUUCUGAAAUUGUAGUGGAAGAUUAGGUAACCUCGGACUAUAUUUAUUAAGGUAUAAAAUGGAAGAAAAUAAAUGGGCAUCCCCUUGUGAACAUUACAUAAAGGGAACAAACUUACCUUGUGGCAAAAAUAGUGAUAGGAAGGAAAUGACAUGGUUAGAUAAAAAAAUAUAAUAGAGGCAUACUUGUGUGUGUGUGUGAGAGAGAGAGAGAGAGAGAGAGAGAUCUUUCUCUGCAGUCCUCCUUUCACUUCACCUUCAUUCUUGUGACCAUGUCUGAACCCUCUCUCUUUAAAGUCUUAUAAUUCUACAGAAUCCCUGGACCGUUGAAAUUCAACGGGGGACCACAAAUUCCCCAUCGUGGAUUCAACCAUGCUAAUCAAAUAUAUUACUGUAUAUCAAGGAUAUACUCAAUUUCGAAUUCAGAGUUGUAAUUUUUAGCUUAAUAGUAAGACUAAUCAUUGGAAUUAAAUGAAUUAGUUAAUUAAUUCGAGAUGGAGACUUUAGUGAAUAAAUUUACCAUGUUGUUAUUGCCGACCUCGGUGAUGAUGUGUUGAUACAGCUUGUAUGUUGUACUCUCGGCAGGCCUCUUCCAUGGUUACACCUUCUCUAUGGUGAUGUACCCAUUGUUCUCCUUGUCGAAGUAGGCAAAGGCAGCCAGCAGGUGCUCCUCCCGCUACAUCUCGUAUAGUGUACUCUCGGCAGGCCUCUUCCACCUUCUCUAU